CUGAGUCAAAGCAGGAUCUUGCUGUUGUUCCACCUAACAGCACAGUAAUAUAUGAAGUUGAGCUUAUUUCAUUUGUGAAGGUGCGGACAUGACUGAUAUUCGUGUCUGUUCUAAAUCAUUGACCUGUGUGCAACUGCACAUGACUGAUAUUCGUGUCUGUUCUAAAUCAUUGACCUGUGUGCAAUUGCAAAAUUGAUCAAUAUAAUCUUGUCACACAGGACAAGGAGUCGUGGGACUUGAACAAUGAAGAGAAGAUUGAGGCUGCUGGUAAGAAGAAAGAGGAAGGGAAUGC
This 292-nucleotide long non-coding RNA is filed under the name Zea mays. RNAcentral's name for it is "long non-coding RNA (ZMAY_LNC004976)". Lineage: Eukaryota; Viridiplantae; Streptophyta; Magnoliopsida; Poales; Poaceae. The record is from RNAcentral.